GUAACUCUUUUAGAGUUACUCCUCAUCCUCACCAUUCAUUUUCUUAAGAUGUAAUGGUUAAAAUUAGUUACUUAUUACAACCAUUAGAUUUUAAGAAAAUGAAUGAUGAGGAUGGGGAGUAACUCUAAAAAAGUUAC
This is a non-coding RNA of Glycine soja, 137 nucleotides long. The record is from Rfam. Lineage: Eukaryota; Viridiplantae; Streptophyta; Magnoliopsida; Fabales; Fabaceae.